RNAcentral lists this ribosomal RNA (460 nucleotides) under uncultured bacterium. RNAcentral's name for it is "partial 16S ribosomal RNA". It matches the Rfam family "Bacterial small subunit ribosomal RNA", at positions 338 to 795 of the family's 1533-position model. The record is from RNAcentral.
CCUACGGGUGGCAGCAGUGAGGAAUAUUGGUCAAUGGACGAGAGUCUGAACCAGCCAAGCCGCGUGAAGGAUGAAUGCUCUAUGGGUUGUAACCUUCUUUUAUAAAGGAAUAAAACGAGGCACGCGUGCCUGUUUGCAUGUACCUGAUGAAUAACGAUCGGCUAACUCCGUACCAGCAGCCGCGGUAAUACGGAGGAUCCGAGCGUUAUCCGGAUUUAUUGGGUUUAAAGGGAGCGUAGAUGGGUUGUUAAGUCAGUGGUGAAAGGCUGCGGCUCAACCGUAAAAUUGCAGUUGAUACUGGCAGUCUUGAGUACAGGAGAGGUAGGCGGAAUUCGUGGUGUAGCGGUGAAAUGCUUAGAUAUCACGAAGAACACCGAUUGCGAAGGCAGCUUGCUGGACUGUCACUGACGGUGAGGCUCGAAAGUGUGGGUAUCAAACAGGAUUAGAUACCCUAGUAGUC